RNAcentral lists this ribosomal RNA (481 nucleotides) under uncultured bacterium. Its description in RNAcentral is "partial 16S ribosomal RNA". It matches the Rfam family "Bacterial small subunit ribosomal RNA", at positions 28 to 523 of the family's 1533-position model. The record is from RNAcentral.
AAUGAACGUUGGCGGCGUGGAUUAGGCAUGCAAGUCGAGCGAGAACCCCGCAAGGGGGGACAGCGGCAAACGGCGUAGUAAGGCGUAGGUACGUGCCCCCGGGUCUGGGAUAGCCAAGGGAAACUUUGGGUAAUACCGGAUACUCUCGAGAGAGCAAAGGUGUGACUCCGCCUGGGGAGUGGCUUACGUGGUAGUAGCUUGUUGGUGAGGUAACGGCUCACCAAGGCAACGAUGCCUAGGGGGGUGUGAGAGCACGACCCCCACGACUGGGACUGAGAUACUGCCCAGACACCUACGGGUGGCUGCAGUCGAGAAUCUUCGGCAAUGGGCGCAAGCCUGACCGAGCGACGCCGCGUGUGGGAUGAAGGCCCUUGGGUUGUAAACCACUGUCAGAGGGGAUGAAGUGCACGGGGGUACUCCCUCGUGUUUGACAUAGCCUCAGAGGAAGCACGGGCUAAGUUCGUGCCAGCCGCCGCGGUAA